This 896-nucleotide ribosomal RNA is filed under the name Septoria matricariae. RNAcentral's name for it is "LSU rRNA". It matches the Rfam family "Eukaryotic large subunit ribosomal RNA", at positions 38 to 964 of the family's 3401-position model. Lineage: Eukaryota; Fungi; Ascomycota; Dothideomycetes; Mycosphaerellales; Mycosphaerellaceae. The record is from RNAcentral.
GCAUAUCAAUAAGCGGAGGAAAAGAAACCAACAGGGAUUGCCCUAGUAACGGCGAGUGAAGCGGCAACAGCUCAAAUUUGAAAUCUGGCGCAAGCCCGAGUUGUAAUUUGUAGAGGAUGCUUCUGGGUAGCGACCGAUCUAAGUUCCUUGGAACAGGACGUCAUAGAGGGUGAGAAUCCCGUAUGUGACCGGCCCGCACCCUUUACGUAGCUCCUUCGACGAGUCGAGUUGUUUGGGAAUGCAGCUCUAAAUGGGAGGUAAAUUUCUUCUAAAGCUAAAUACCGGCCAGAGACCGAUAGCGCACAAGUAGAGUGAUCGAAAGAUGAAAAGUACUUUGGAAAGAGAGUUAAAAAGCACGUGAAAUUGUUGAAAGGGAAGCGCCUGCAACCAGACUUCGCGGCAGUGUUCCGCCGGUCUUCUGACCGGUUCAUUCUCUGUCGCGAGGCCAUCAUCGUCUGGGCCCGCCGGAUAAGACCUUAGGAAUGUAGCUCACCUUCGGGGGAGUGUUAUAGCCUAGGGUGAUGCGGCGAGGCUCGGGCGAGGUCCGCGCUUCGGCAAGGAUGAUGGCGUAAUGGUUGUCGGCGGCCCGUCUUGAAACACGGACCAAGGAGUCUAACAUCUAUGCGAGUGUUCGGGUGUCAAACCCCUACGCGUAAUGAAAGUGAACGGAGGUGGGAACCGCAAGGUGCACCAUCGACCGAUCCUGAUGUCCUCGGAUGGAUUUGAGUAAGAGCAUAGCUGUUGGGACCCGAAAGAUGGUGAACUAUGCCUGAAUAGGGUGAAGCCAGAGGAAACUCUGGUGGAGGCUCGCAGCGGUUCUGACGUGCAAAUCGAUCGUCAAAUUUGGGUAUAGGGGCGAAAGACUAAUCGAACCAUCUAGUAGCUGGUUCUGCCGA